CAAGGUGGUUAUAGCAACGGGGCUCACCUCUUCCCAUUCCGAACAGAGAAGUUAAGCCCGUUAGCGCAGAUGGUACUGCUUUUUGUGGGAGAGUAUGUCGCCGCCUUCU
Molecule: ribosomal RNA, 109 nt
Organism: Mesonia phycicola
Lineage: Bacteria; Pseudomonadati; Bacteroidota; Flavobacteriia; Flavobacteriales; Flavobacteriaceae
Source: Rfam